UACGUAGGGUGCGAGCGUUAAUCGGAAUUACUGGGCGUAAAGCGUGCGCAGGCGGUGAUGUAAGUCAGAUGUGAAAUCCCCGGGCUCAACCUGGGAACUGCAUUUGUGACUGCAUCGCUGGAGUGCGGCAGAGGGGGAUGGAAUUCCGCGUGUAGCAGUGAAAUGCGUAGAUAUGCGGAGGGACACCGAUGGCGAAGGCAAUCCCCUGGGCCUGCACUGACGCUCAUGCACGAAAGCGUGGGGAGCAAACAGG
This 253-nucleotide ribosomal RNA is filed under the name uncultured bacterium. RNAcentral describes it as "partial 16S ribosomal RNA". It matches the Rfam family "Bacterial small subunit ribosomal RNA", at positions 524 to 776 of the family's 1533-position model. The record is from RNAcentral.